AUUGAACGCUGGCGGCAGGCCUAACACAUGCAAGUCGAGCGAGCGGCGGACGGGUGAGCAAUGUAUGGGGAUCUGCCCGAUAGAGGGGGAUAACUAAGGGAAACGGUAGCUAAUACCGCGUACCAUAGGAUGAGGCCAAGUGGGAUUAGGUAGUUGGUGAGGGAAAGGCUCACCAAGCCGACGAUCUAUAGCUGGUCUGAGAGGAUGACCAGCCACACUGGGACUGAGACACGGCCCAGACUCCUACGGGAGGCAGCAGUGGGGAAUAUUGGGCAAUGGGGGAAACCUGACCCAGCCAUGCCGCGUGAAUGAAGAAGGCCUUCGGUUUGUAAAGUUCUUUCGGUAGCGAGGCGUUAACUAACGAAGAAGCACCGGCUAACUCCGUGCCAGCAGCCGCGGUAAUUC
This 405-nucleotide ribosomal RNA is filed under the name uncultured bacterium. Its description in RNAcentral is "partial 16S ribosomal RNA". It matches the Rfam family "Bacterial small subunit ribosomal RNA", at positions 30 to 526 of the family's 1533-position model. The record is from RNAcentral.